AAUUUGGAGAAGGUGCUUCGGGUGCGUCCGCGGUCCAAGUCCCUUGGAACAAGGCAUCCCAGAGGGUGAGAAUCCCGUAUAUGGCUGAUGGAUAAGCCCGUGUGAAGCUCUUUCGACGAGUCGAGUUGUUUGGGAAUGCAGCUCUAAAUGGGUGGUAAAUUUCAUCUAAAGCUAAAUAUUCGCUAAAGACCGAUAGCGCACAAGUAGAGUGAUCGAAAGAUGAAAAGCACUUUGAAAAGAGAGUUAAAAAGUACGUGAAAUUGUUAAAAGGGAAGCGCUUGCAACCAGACUCGCUCGCGGGUGUUCAGCCGUCCCUUGGGGCGAUUCACUCUCCCGCGAUCGGGCCAGCAUCGGUUUAGGCGGUUGGAUAAAGGCUUCGGGAAUGUAGCUCUUCGGAGUGUUAAGCCCGGGGUGUAAUGCGAUCAGCCGAGACCGAGGACCGCGCAUUCGUUAGGAUGCUGGCGUAAUGGUUGUCAGCGACCCGUCUUGAAACACGGACCAAGGAGUCGACCAAUCGAGCGAGUAUAUGGGUAUGACACCCAAAUGCGUAAUGAAAGUAAACGGAGGUGGGAGCCCUUCGGGUGCACCAUCGACCGAUCCUGAUGUUUUCGGAUGGAUUUGAGUAUGAGCCCGGCUGGUCGGACCCGGUAUUUUUGAAACCAAGUGCUUCUAUUAUUUUAAUAUGCUAACUGUUUGAUAGAAAGAUGGUGAACUAUGCCUGGAUAGGGUGAAGCCAGAGGAAACUCUGGUGGAGGCUCGCAGCGGUUCUGACGUGCAAAUCGAUCGUCAAAUUUGGGCAUAGGGGCGAAAGACUAAUCGAACCAUCUAGUAGCUGGUUCCCGUCGAAGUUUCCCUCAGGAUAGCAGCAACGGAAACAGUCUCAUGAGGUAGAGCGAACGAUUAGAGGCCUUGGGGUUGAAACAACCUUAACCUAUUCUCGAACUUCGAAUAUGUGAGAAGUCCUUGUUACUUAGUUGAA
Molecule: ribosomal RNA, 979 nt
Filed under: Stegobolus anamorphus
Lineage: Eukaryota; Fungi; Ascomycota; Lecanoromycetes; Ostropales; Graphidaceae
Description: eukaryotic LSU rRNA
Rfam family: Eukaryotic large subunit ribosomal RNA
Source: RNAcentral